GAUGAACGCUAGCGGGAGGCUUAAUACAUGCAAGUCGAACGGUAACAGCAGUGUUUACAUUGGCUGACGAGUGGCGCACGGGUGAGUAACGCGUACAUAACCUACCUUAAACUGGAGGAUAGCCUUGGGAAACUGAGAAUAAUACUCCAUAGUAUAUACUAACCGCAUGGUUUGGUAUAUUAAAGCUCCGGCGGUUUAAGAUGGAUGUGCGUUAGAUUAGCUAGUUGGUAGGGUAACGGCCUACCAAGGCGACGAUCUAUAGGGGGCGUGAGAGCGUGAUCCCCCACACGGGUACUGAGACACGGACCCGACUCCUACGGGAGGCAGCAGUAAGGAAUAUUGGACAAUGGAGGAAACUCUGAUCCAGCCAUCCCGCGUGCAGGAUGACGGCCCUCUGGGUUGUAAACUGCUUUUGUAUGGGAAGAAACGCCUUUAUUUAUAAGGGUUUGACGGUACCAUAAGAAUAAGCAUCGGCUAACUCCG
This 483-nucleotide ribosomal RNA is filed under the name uncultured Saprospiraceae bacterium. RNAcentral's name for it is "bacterial SSU rRNA". It matches the Rfam family "Bacterial small subunit ribosomal RNA", at positions 28 to 505 of the family's 1533-position model. The record is from RNAcentral. Lineage: Bacteria; Pseudomonadati; Bacteroidota; Saprospiria; Saprospirales; Saprospiraceae.